Vespa mandarinia (Asian giant hornet) is the source of this 4021-nucleotide long non-coding RNA. RefSeq lists it as uncharacterized. The record is from RefSeq and is a predicted model, not a curated record. NCBI's taxonomy places the organism in Eukaryota, Metazoa, Arthropoda, Insecta, Hymenoptera, Vespidae.
UUUCGGGUUAAUAAUUAAAUGAAUUAUCGAUUAACGAUAAAUGAAAUUUAUAAUGAAUGAAUCGAUAUAAUAUUUGAAGGAAAUGUGGAUUUUUAUUUUCGAGAACGUUCUAAACCGCGAUAGUGGCAAAGGUUCGAGAUGAUGAAGAGAAUACGAAGGAGGUAGAAAAUAAAAAGGUGAAAAAGAAAAUCGGAUAGUGAGGCAAGAGGAGGUAUCGGAAGGAGAGCUACAGUGCCUACAUAGCAAAAAAGGAAUGACGCCGGUAUUUUUAAUGGGAAGCCGAAGGCGAGUUGAAUAGAACGAGCUUUUGGGUCCCUCGCGAGGACGUCGUACGCCUCUACAAGGGUUCAAAGCGAGAGCCAAGUUUUAACAAGCCUCAGGCUUCGUGCCCCUGGCCCCUGGAUGUCUCCUUUAAAUAAUCCACCGGACGAUCCAUUCGUACGAAGGAUCGUUCAAGCAUCAUUGAAAAAUUCUUUCGAUCUCCGUCUCAAUUAUCAAGAUAAAAUUUCUUUGGUAAAAGUUAUGCGGACGAUUCUCCAAAAAAUUCUAUCACCGUCCUUUAUGAAAAAUUCCAGAAUUACAGACAAAGUCCUUGCAUAGAUAUCUCGUUCUUUCUCGUAACGUCCUCCAUUCGUGUCUCUCGCCUCUUUACAAAGAAAGAGAGGAGGUCGUUUUUUUUACUUGGGGGAAUCGUGAAAGUCAAGAGAAGAUUCGAGUGUGUAGGAUAUAGUGAGGAACGAGGGAACACGAUUUAUUAGAGAAAGACAAGGAAAAGAGGAAUAAAACGAAAAGAGGGAAGAAAAAGAGGAUGGACCGCACAAAGAAAAAAACGUAGGCGGGAGGCCGAGGUGUACAUGGAGAAAAAAAGAGAGAGAGAGAGAUAAAGAGAGAGAGAGAGAUAAAGAGAGAGAGAGAGAGAGAGAUAAAGAGAGAGAGAGAGAGAGAGAGAGAGAGAGAGAGAGAGAGAGAGAGAGAGAGAGAGGUGCGGAAUAAUGCUUAACAAGCCGACUUGAAAGGACGGCCGCCAUGUUGAGUCAAUACUUGAAAGUCUUUGCUCAUUAAGAAUAUUUUACAUCUGGCUCCUCCGGCAGCACCGCCGAGUCUCUAAUUCCUCUUUCCCUUCCACUGUUCGUUCCGAAGCCGCGCUCGCUUCGCUCAUCUUCGAAGAGAGAAGAAGCUUUCUUUUGCUUCCUCUUUCUCUGUCCCCUUUGCCCUCACUCCCGCCUUUACGUUCGAGGUCCGUCCCCCUGGUGCCUGGUUGCAUACCGGGGGUGGUUGGACCCUCGAAGAUGGAAGUUAUUUACGCGCCACUCGGAACACCCUCCACCAUCGCGAACUUUCUCUCUCUCUCUCUCUUUUUCUCUCCCUCUUUUUCUCUUUUUCUCCUGGUUUCCCUUUGCAUAACCCCUCUCAUCGGUUGCCAUCCCCUCUGUUGCCGUCACUGCCGGCGGCCUUGGCUGGCCAUCAUGUCCGCCAUUGCCUUCCUUUUCUGACCCUUUAAGAACGACGGAAAGAAUUCCUUCGACUUCACCAACGGGCCAACCCUCCGUCCGCCCUUUGCAGUCUUUCUCUCUUUUCCUCUCUCAUUCUCUCCCUUUAUCUUCCUCCUUUCGUUCUCCUACCAUCGCGUAAUCACCGUUCCAUUUCGCGGCGUUUUUCCUAAUUCCUACCCAAUUCCGCUUUUAGCAUUUCAAUUUAUGCCCGCGGACCGAUCCGUCGGACGUGCCUACCCUCCGGUAACGACGGAUUAUUAUCGAAGACGUACCGCUUCGAAUGGAAAUUUACUUGGGAAUCGGGAAGAGGGAUGAAAUUGUUCUUUUACGCGUUCGAUAGAAAAAUCGGUAUCGGCGUUGUUAUUGUUCUUUUAACUUUCUUUCCAUGGAUAAUAAUUUAUUCGAUCUCGAGAUAUAAACAUAAUCGCAUUUACUUAUAUACGUAGGUAUAAGUACUCUAUAGUUCUAUUGAAGAAUUUUUUAUCUCUCUCUCUCUCUCUCUCUUUUUUUGUUAUAAUUUCGUUUGCUUGUCACGUUGCCGUUAGAUCGGCUCACAAAACGAUAAGACUGUCGUUACCCCUCGUUGCGUUAUAGGGGUAUGGUUAUAAAAAUAAGUCACGUGUGCACAUCGGUACUGCGUUUCUCGCGUUUCUCAAUUGUAUCAACUUUAACCCUUUCAUUGUUUCGCUUUUUUUUCUAUCGAUCCUUUCUUGGCAUUUCACCGGCUCCAUUCGCAAACCCUUUCUCGCGCGUUUCGUGUUAGGAACGGGCGAGGAGAUUCGAAGUUUGUCCGUGCGAACAAUCGCGUGCACGAACGGUAUGUUAGCGUACAUAAUAAGCUGUGCAGAAAGCGAGCAAACGAGAAUGAGAAAGAAAAGGAGUGAGAGAGAGAGAGAGAGAGAGAGAGAGAGAGAGAAAGAGAGACAGAAUGAAACAAAAACUGGUCUCGCGAGGUAAAACAAUAGGGGGUUCCUUCGGAAGGGCAGACAGAGAGAAAGAGAGAGAAGAGUACCGUACAACCCCGUAGAGUCGUAGAGCUAUGGCACGACGUGUGUGAAAUUCAAGAACCUGUAGCGCGAAGAAGAACAAAACGUUGCUGCCAGCUGCACGGUGCAUACGUUAUUAAUGUGUCGUUUUGUCCUUCCUCAUCGACAUCUUUACUCGAGAAAGAAAGAAAUAAAAAGAGAGAAAGAGAGAGUACCAAAGAUCAUAAUUCCAAUGAGACGGUGCAACGCGUUAAUAUACCGAGACUCUUCGCCUCCUUCUUUUCGGCCGAGUCUCUUUACCCCACAUUUUCUUUGGUACCUUUCAUUCCCUAUCCUUUCUCACUCUUCUUUCUCUUCUUCCCCAUCGACCGAGAAACAGGUUCCUCUUUAUUCGGCCCGCUUAUUAUGCAACUUAUUGUUUUCGCCGAGACACAAGGGUCUCUCCGAGUGGUCCUGAAUCAGGCGAAAAAAAAACGAGUCUUCGAGUGACUCGUUCUACGGCUUUGCGUUCUCAUACUUCCAUUUCUCAUAACGAAUUAUCAUAGCGUUAGAUUUUUGUCAUUUCGACGGACCGCUCUUUUUUAACCGGUAGAUGACAUUGUGAUAUUUGGAUUAGAAAGGAUCCUUUACGAAGGAUAUAUAGAGGAGUAGAUAAAAGAUUUUUUAUUGUAUAGACUUGAAGAUCAUAUUCCAUGCAAGAUGUCUCUUUUGAAAUUUUUUACUUUUCUCAAAUGCUUCUCCGACAAUAUUCCCAUGGAUCGAUUAAGAUGAUAAAUGUGACAUUUCUUUUUUCUGUUUUUUUUUUUUUUCUUUUUUUUUUUAACAACCAAUUAUCUAAUGAGCGUAUAAGAUUCCUUGAUUCAUUGCUGGAAUGAUGCAGCACCAAUGGAUGGCAGAUGUCCAGAAGCAAACGAAAAAGAUUUUAUUUUUCUUUUUUACUUUUUUCUUUUUUUUUUUUUUUUUUUUAGCAAGAACUCCCGUGGACCCGUCCAGGUGUCCAUUGUGGGUCCGAGCUACGAUUCUCAACCCUUAAUCCUUAACCCUUUGGCCGCACGCAUCCGCCUGCAGACGCCCAUUUACCGAUUCUGAAACAAUACCGACCGGACCGCACCCCGGAUGCGCACGUUUAUUAAGUAAUGUCCCCCUUUGCUUUUCGUUUCGCAGCUGGCCGAGCAAAAAAAGCACUGUUGCUUUUGUCUAUCAUUUCUCGCGGUCCAACGAUGCUUUCCUAACGAUUUCUAAUUCAAUCGUUAGGAAAGUCGUAAGAUCGAAUGUCCGCGACAUCGAACGUUGAGAUUUUUCUGUUAUCUAAUUAAAAGGCCAAACAAUUUUUAUUGUCUUUCUAAGAUAUCGACAAAUAUGUUUUCAGGCACACGUCACGACAAUUCAUUCAAUAAUACAACAAUAUAAUUUUAUUUUAAAUAUCAUACAGUCGGUGAUCUUUUCUGUGUGAAUGUUUAAAAAAUUUUUAAAUAUUAUAAUAAGAAAUUGGCUCAAUUAAAUUUAAUAUACUUUAAUAAUACUACUUAUAAUUGAAUAGAA